This 469-nucleotide ribosomal RNA is filed under the name uncultured bacterium. RNAcentral's name for it is "bacterial SSU rRNA". It matches the Rfam family "Bacterial small subunit ribosomal RNA", at positions 329 to 795 of the family's 1533-position model. The record is from RNAcentral.
UUCCAGACUCCUACGGGAGGCAGCAGUGAGGAAUAUUGGUCAAUGGGCGCGAGCCUGAACCAGCCAAGUAGCGUGAAGGAUGACUGCCCUACGGGUUGUAAACUUCUUUUAUAAAGGAAUAAAGUGAGGCACGUGUGCCUUUUUGUAUGUACUUUAUGAAUAAGGAUCGGCUAACUCCGUGCCAGCAGCCGCGGUAAUACGGAGGAUCCGAGCGUUAUCCGGAUUUAUUGGGUUUAAAGGGAGCGUAGGCCGGUCUUUAAGCGCGCCGUGAAAUUUUGUGGCUCAACCAUGAGAGUGCGGCGCGAACUGGAGACCUUGAGUGCGCGGAAGGCAGGCGGAAUUCGUGGUGUAGCGGUGAAAUGCUUAGAUAUCACGAAGAACUCCGAUUGCGAAGGCAGCCUACUAAACUGCCACUGACAGUGAUGCUCGAAAGUGUGGGUAUCAAACAGGAUUAGAUACCCGGGUACAC